Molecule: ribosomal RNA, 253 nt
Filed under: uncultured bacterium
Lineage: Bacteria
Description: partial 16S ribosomal RNA
Rfam family: Bacterial small subunit ribosomal RNA
Source: RNAcentral
UACGUAGGCAGCAAGCGUUGUUCGGAAUUACUGGGCGUAAAGAGUGUGUAGGCGGUGCUCCAAGUCUGGUGUGAAAUCUCCCGGCUCAACUGGGAGGGUGCGCUAGAAACUGGAAUGCUAGAGGAUGGGAGAGGUAAGCGGAAUUCCUGGUGUAGCGGUGAAAUGCGUAGAUAUCGGGAGGAACACCUGUGGCGAAAGCGGCGCACUGGACCAUAACUGACGCUGAGGCGCGAAAGCUAGGGGAGCAAACAGG